GCCAUCUGGGCAGGGACGGCAGAGGACAGACGUGCACACCGGUUACUAAGCUCCUUCCCUCCUCACCAAGGAAGCUCAAAUGUGUUCAGCAGAAGGGUGCUGGCCCAAGGGAUCCAGCAGGACUGGGUGACUGCGUGCUGUCUGUGGGCCUGGCGAAAAAGGAUGAAGACCUGCUGACCUGAACCAAGAUUCACAACUGCCUCCUUCCAACCACUCACAUCACUGGCAAGUGUCCAGCAGAGGGCAGUGGUGGAACACACCAGGAGCACAGCCCCAGGACUCUGCACUCACUCCCAGCUACUGCAGCCACUGCAGACAGUGGGUCCUGGACUCAGUUUCUCCACGUGAGCAAUGAGAGAAGAGGAGUCAGCAAUCAUUCCAGAAUCUCCUGGGCUGGGCUGCCUCAAGGAGGGUGAAGAGAGACACCCCGCUCUGCCACCUGCACACGGUCCCUGCCAGCUCCCCCAAGGGCCUCACCUCA
Long non-coding RNA from Gorilla gorilla gorilla (western lowland gorilla), 481 nucleotides. RefSeq lists it as uncharacterized. NCBI's taxonomy places the organism in Eukaryota, Metazoa, Chordata, Mammalia, Primates, Hominidae. The transcript has 3 exons. The record is from RefSeq and is a predicted model, not a curated record.